Long non-coding RNA from Gigantopelta aegis, 540 nucleotides. RefSeq lists it as uncharacterized. The transcript is spliced from 2 exons. The record is from RefSeq and is a predicted model, not a curated record. NCBI's taxonomy places the organism in Eukaryota, Metazoa, Mollusca, Gastropoda, Neomphalida, Peltospiridae.
UUGAGAUAUGUUUGUGGCGACAUGGCUGACGAUGAGUCGACAAGUUCUGGUUACUAUUUAUUUGUUAAAUGUAUUUUAACUGAAUCUACAUACAGAAGCUGUACUUUCACCUAGGAUACGAUUGAAGAUACUAUAUACUGAACGUGUUACAUGACGACAACAAAUUAGUGAAAUGCUCGGACAUAUCAUUCGAUGAUAAUGGUGGGAUUAGUACAAUAUAGCAUUUUGAAUCUUUGAAUGACGACCAAACACCGUCCGUUGACGAACUGAUUGUAUCCUGUGAAUUAGCAGAAACGUUAAACAUGGAACAACGUCAAAACGUGUUCAUGAGCCUGUACAGGAUUAGGAACAAUACGAGAUACAUAACAAAAAAUAUACUAUAGCAAACAGGAAUAAAAUAGCAAUGGAUACCUCUCGGAGUUUAAGCUAUAUCGACGUUGAACUGGACUAAACUACGCUUUCGAUGUUUGUGUGUGAGGUUCGGACUAACCUCCUGACAGCUUGUACGGAUAUUUUUCGAGUAAACUUUUUUUUUGGUUA